AAUGACUUUUUACACCGGUUCCUAUUAAAUUGUUGCGAAAUGUUUUAGAAAAAAACCGGUUUAUGGCUCUCUUUCUUCUACUUUCUUUUUUCCCCCCUGCUUUCCCUCUUCGUUCUGCUCUUCUCUUUCCCUCUCGUUUUCGCAUCUCCUUCUCUUCCCGAACUCCACUCCAUUGAAGCAGCUCGCUCUCUCUCCGUUGAAGUGGUUUACGAGCUUUCUCACUCCAUUGAAGCAGCGCCUCCUUGUCUCUCCAUAUCUCUGGCCUCAAUUGAACUCGUGCUCUAUAUUCUCCAUUGAAGCCGAUUCUGAGCUUUCUCACCUCCAUUGAAGCAGCUUCGAGGGUUCUGGUUUUAUUUCUAUUUUUUGUCGAACAAAAUACGUAGAAGGAGAGAGUAGGUACUACCCGUCGCCACUCACCCUUCGCCGGCCACCCUCCGUUCCCCUCAGCCGUCCUUCGUGCGUCGGCUAUCGACCACCAGAAAAGCUCAUUGCAGGUUGCUAGUCACUCAUGAUGAUUAUAGCAUGAUGACUAAGCUACCACAGAAUAAGACAUCAGUGGUGACAAUAUUAAGAAACCCAGUUGAUCGUGUAUUCAGUACAUAUUUAUUUUCGAUUGCAGUAGCUGCUAGAUUUUUGGUGCAUCCUAACUUAACUUCUGCCAUACAAAUGGCUGGACGUUUGUGAAAGAAAAACAAUGUGGUUAGCACGCUGAAUAUAUGGCCAUGAAAGUAUUUGGUUCCAUGGAUGAGAGAAGACCUAUUUGCUAGGGGAUGAAAAGCAAUUUUCCCAAGGGUGGAAAUCAAUUUCCUUUUGUAAGUAAUUAACACAUUUUCCACUCUACUCCUUGUCUUUCUUAUUCUCUCCUCCCAUCCAUUCUCUCCCUUUUACUUUUCUCCAUAACUUUUCUGGUAUGCUACCAAACAAAGGAGAGUUUAUCAGGUUUAUUUGCAUUAAUAUACUUCGUACAAAGGAGUGUUAAAUGAGCACCGAAAUAGGUAGUUUAAUCGCUACUCUUUCUUGAUUUUUAUGUUUAAUUUGUUAAAUUUUUCUAUUUUUAUUUGCGUAUUUCUUGAUUAAAUUUGUAGAUUGAAGCAGAUUUAUGGUUUGGUAUAUACCUGUGUUUGUUGAUUCUGGGGGAUUUGAAGAGUGCAUGAAUUUCCUGGAGUACCUGAAUGGCUGUAAUCACAACUGGGAUAAAGCUUUCAUUGGCUAAAAUGCCAUUUCAGAGAGGCAGAAAGAUUUUGGUUAUUGGAAUCUAGUCAAGGUAUUAGGACAGAAGCAAUAAAGAGUUAUUACCUGGUCAGUCCUCCUUCAACAGGGAUAUUUGAUGUAUGGUGCUUGCACAUACCUGUCAAGGAUCAAACUCCAUUCCAAGAACUGGUAUUGCUGGUUGAGGAAACUGUAAGGUCAGAGAAUCUUCGGUCCCAUGAGAAACCCAUUUAUCUUGUUGGAGAAUCAAUUGGAGGAUGUAUUGCAUUGGCUGUGGCUGCUCGAAAUCCUGAUAUUGAUCUUGUACUCAUUUUGGCUAAUCCUGCUACAUGUUAUAGCAAAUCAAACCUGCUACUUCUAUUUCCUUUACUAAAAAUCAUCCCCAAUGACAUUUCUCUGAUCAGUAUAUGAAACAUGCUCGGCCUUAUGACAGGUUUAGUUUCCUUUUCAUUUAUCUGAUUUUGUGUUGCUUCAUAUCUAUUUCCUAAUCUUCCUAGGUUCUUUUAAUCAAAGGCUCUUUGAUACCUCUUUAGCAGAGCAGGUGUAGGGUCCUAAUUAAUUUGUGCUCUAAGUUACUCAUAAUUAAUGGUCCUACACCAUAGAUAUAAGUGUGAGGGUGAAAAUGCAAUGUCCUCCUUUGAUGACUGUAGUGCUCCACAUAUUCAAAUUCUGUCAUCAACAAAACUUUAAUUUAUUUAUUUUGGUUAAAAUCCAUUUUAAGGUGUGUAAUUUUUGCCUAUUGUUUAGUUUUUAUUCUAUUUUUUUUGUUGGUGGUGUGGGUUUCUUGUUGGUGGUGUGUGUUUCUGUCUUGUUCAAGCUGUUAGGAUGCCUGGUCUGAACUUCUGGCUUUCUGUUUGCUGUCUGCUGUUCUGCCUGCUGUCUGCUGUUGUGGUUGCGCUGCUGUGUUCAGUGCUGCUUUGCUGACAAGCUGCUAUACGUUUGUGCUGCUGUUGCACUGUUGUGCUGUUGGUCUGCUGGUUUUGACAGCUCGUGUUGGGUCUGGUGCUGGCUGCCUAACCAUGGUGUAGCUUCUGGUUGCUGUUUUGCUUGUAGCUGCUGUUGGGGUUGCUGGUUGUGGUGUGGUUGUGCUGUCUCAUUCUCUGUUGCAGGCUUGGGGUCAGUGGGAGCUGCUGCAGUCUGCUGUUUUUUUUUUUGCCUUAGUUUUUAUUCUAUUUAUCAAAGAUGUAGUGCUCUUUAUCAGAUGUAUGACACAAAUAUUGAAGAAAAUAUGUGUUUUAUGUAUAUUAUGAACUAAUUAACCAGCGUAAACAAUUUAAGUGCAAAAAACAAAAAAAUAAAUAAAAAUUGGGGCACUUUUGGCUAUACGUUUGUGCUGCUGUUGCACUGUUGUGCUGUUGGUCUGCUGGUUUUGACAGCUCGUGUUGGGUCUGGUGCUGGCUGCCUAACCAUGGUGUAGCUUCUGGUUGCUGUUUUGCUUGUAGCUGCUGUUGGGGUUGCUGGUUGUGGUGUGGUUGUGCUGUCUCAUUCUCUGUUGCAGGCUUGGGGUCAGUGGGAGCUGCUGCAGUCUGCUGUUUUUUUUUUUGCCUUAGUUUUUAUUCUAUUUAUCAAAGAUGUAGUGCUCUUUAUCAGAUGUAUGACACAAAUAUUGAAGAAAAUAUGUGUUUUAUGUAUAUUAUGAACUAAUUAACCAGCGUAAACAAUUUAAGUGCAAAAAACAAAAAAAUAAAUAAAAAUUGGGGCACUUUUGGCUAUACGUUUGUGCUGCUGUUGCACUGUUGUGCUGUUGGUCUGCUGGUUUUGACAGCUCGUGUUGGGUCUGGUGCUGGCUGCCUAACCAUGGUGUAGCUUUUGGUUGCUGUUUUGCUUGUAGCUGCUGUUGGGGUUGCUGGUUGUGGUGUGGUUGUGCUGUCUCAUUCUCUGUUGCAGGCUUGGGGUCAGUGGGAGCUGCUGCAGUCUGCUGUUUUUUUUUUGCCUUAGUUUUUAUUCUAUUUAUCAAAGAUGUAGUGCUCUUUAUCAGAUGUAUGACACAAAUAUUGAAGAAAAUAUGUGUUUUAUGUAUAUUAUGAACUAAUUAACCAGCGUAAACAAUUUAAGUGCAAAAAACAAAAAAAUAAAUAAAAAUUGGGGCACUUUUGGCUAUACGUUUGUGCUGCUGUUGCACUGUUGUGCUGUUGGUCUGCUGGUUUUGACAGCUCGUGUUGGGUCUGGUGCUGGCUGCCUAACCAUGGUGUAGCUUCUGGUUGCUGUUUUGCUUGUAGCUGCUGUUGGGGUUGCUGGUUGUGGUGUGGUUGUGCUGUCUCAUUCUCUGUUGCAGGCUUGGGGUCAGUGGGAGCUGCUGCAGUCUGCUGUUUUUUUUUUGCCUUAGUUUUUAUUCUAUUUAUCAAAGAUGUAGUGCUCUUUAUCAGAUGUAUGACACAAAUAUUGAAGAAAAUAUGUGUUUUAUGUAUAUUAUGAACUAAUUAACCAGCGUAAACAAUUUAAGUGCAAAAAACAAAAAAAU
This is a long non-coding RNA of Chenopodium quinoa (quinoa), 3670 nucleotides long. RefSeq lists it as uncharacterized. The transcript has 7 exons. The record is from RefSeq and is a predicted model, not a curated record. Lineage: Eukaryota; Viridiplantae; Streptophyta; Magnoliopsida; Caryophyllales; Amaranthaceae.